GCUCGUAGUUGGAUUUCUGGCAUGAUGCGCCUGGCCCUGCGUGAUUAUGCGUGUGUGUGCUAGUGCGCGUCUGCCAUCCAUCUGCAGAAUAUGUCUACCCUCAAUUGGGCCGGAUAUGUGAUGUAAAUCUUUUACUUUGAAAAAAUUAGAGUGUUUAAAGCAGGCAUUUGCUAUGAAUACAUUAGCAUGGAAUAAUAAUCUAGGACUUCGGUUCUAUUUUGUUGGUUUCUAGAUCUGGAGUAAUGAUUGAUAGGGAUAGUUGGGGGUGCUAGUAUUAAGGGGCCAGAGGUGAAAUUCUUGGAUUCUCUUAAGACUAACUUAUGCGAAAGCAUUCACCAAGGAUGUCUUCUUUAAUCAAGAACGAAAGUUGGGGGAUCGAAGACGAUCAGAUACCGUCGUAGUCUCAACCAUAAACUAUGCCAACUAGGGAUGAGUGAACGUUGCAUUUUCGACUUCAUUCGCACCUUAUGAGAAAUCAAAGUCUUUGGGUUCCGGGGGGAGUAUGGUCGCA
This 511-nucleotide ribosomal RNA is filed under the name uncultured eukaryote. Its description in RNAcentral is "SSU rRNA". It matches the Rfam family "Eukaryotic small subunit ribosomal RNA", at positions 626 to 1133 of the family's 1831-position model. The record is from RNAcentral.